Long non-coding RNA from Pipistrellus kuhlii (Kuhl's pipistrelle), 1412 nucleotides. RefSeq lists it as uncharacterized. The record is from RefSeq and is a predicted model, not a curated record. Lineage: Eukaryota; Metazoa; Chordata; Mammalia; Chiroptera; Vespertilionidae. The transcript is spliced from 3 exons.
GGCCCGGCCGGCGGCUGCAGCGACUCUGGGUGCUGCCUGGGUUCCGAUGGUGGCCCGGCUCCUCCAGCCUGCCAAGUGCCUUGCGGACCAGCAGGCGGCGGUAGAGGCUCACCGUACUUCGGCCCUCCUCCCAGGGGGCCGGCUCGAAAAGCCAGGCUUCCUCCACGUUCAGGUGGAAGCCGGUUUGCACCCUCGGCGGGCUCGCGAGAAAGCCGAGCAUCCUCCUCAGGCGCCCGGAGCCGGAUGCGGACGGGGCAGGGCGAGCGCACGUGGAGCGUGUUUACAAACAGAGGCCGAGGCGCCGGGGCCGCAGAACGAGCUGGAGCGAAGGUCGUGAGGCCAGAUCCUGAACCUUAGCUGUGCUGGAUGCGGCAUUCUGGUGCCCGAAUAGGACUCUGGAGAACAAGAUUUGCCUGAGUGAAAAAGGAAAAGUAGGAAUUCAUCAGAAAGGUGGAAAAGUUCACUGUGCACAAAACCUGUACCAGCUUUGGAGUUGCGAACUAAAACUCCUCCAAGCCUGUGUGGAUUCCUGCAACAUGAAUCUGAGAGAGGACCUUGCACAUGGAGCCUAAAACUGUACCUGCAACUGCAGACAAUCGACUACUUCAGCCAUAGAUAGCAGUAGCCACAAGCAAUGUGCUGAAGAUAACAGUCCAGGAUGGUAAAGAAGCCUUGCCAUGCUAGCAGUGAUCAGUUGUGCAAUGGUGCAGGUUGCCCUGGAAAAGCCAAAGAAGGUCAGACCUGCAUUGUCAUUGCCUACCAUUUGUCCACCAUCCAGAACUCAAAUAUCAUUGCUGUAAUGUCACAGGGAACAUGAUUGGGAUGAGAACCCAUAAAGAACUGAUGGCCCAGAAAGAAGCCUACUACAAAUUAGUUCCUUAAAUGCCUGGCAGUGAUUUAAAAAGGACAUAAGAGAACUCAAUUCUUUUCACUGAAUCUCCCUACAGUUGCUUUUUAGCAUAACCACUAUUGUCUUUCUCAUUCUUGUUCUUGCAUUUUUAAUUCUAGUUUGCAGAUGUAGAAUGAAAAGUCUUAAAAGAACUCAAGACCUGCAAACAGCAUUCACCUUUCUAGAUUUAUUAAGAAAAUAAACAGGGGGAAAUGCUGGAGGCUAAAACCAACAGUAAUUAGCAUAUCAUGCAAAAAGACCCAUUGGAAGGCCAAUGGACUUUGAUAUUCAGCAGGGCUGAAAAUCAGCAUAAUAUUGCCCUGCUGUGGGCUCCAUGGCUGGAGGCAAUCCCCUAACCUGAUAAUCCUUUUACUGUUUACCAAACUUUACCUUUGAUACACCUGUGUGCAUUCCUAAAGGGCAAAUGUGUAUUCAAGUGAAUAAAAGCUGACAGGUCCAGGGUUUGAGUGAGCUUCUCCUCUAGAGAGAGGUUUCCACCUGGCUCCCAUGCCUUCUAAAUUCA